This 410-nucleotide ribosomal RNA is filed under the name uncultured bacterium. Its description in RNAcentral is "bacterial SSU rRNA". It matches the Rfam family "Bacterial small subunit ribosomal RNA", at positions 370 to 772 of the family's 1533-position model. The record is from RNAcentral.
AAUGGGCGCAAGCCUGAUCCAGCAAUGCCGCGUGCAGGACGAAGGCCUUCGGGUUGUAAACUGCUUUUGUACGGAGCGAAACGGCUUUCUCUAAUACAGGGGGCUAAUGACGGUACCGUAAGAAUAAGCACCGGCUAACUACGUGCCAGCAGCCGCGGUAAUACGUAGGGUGCGAGCGUUAAUCGGAAUUACUGGGCGUAAAGCGUGCGCAGGCGGUUUUGUAAGACAGAUGUGAAAUCCCCGGGCUCAACCUGGGACCUGCAUUUGUGACUGCAAAGCUGGAGUGCGGCAGAGGGGGGUGGAAUUCCACGUGUAGCAGUGAAAUGCGUAGAGAUGUGGAGGAACACCGAUGGCGAAGGCAGCCCCCUGGGUCGACACUGACGCUCAUGCACGAAAGCGUGGGGAGCAAA